CCUACGGGUGGCAGCAGUAGGGAAUAUUCCACAAUGGGGGAAACCCUGAUGCAGCAACGCCGCGUGAGUGAAGAAGCGCCUCGGCGCGUAAAACUCUGUCAGCAGGGACGAUAAUGACUGUACCUGAAGAAGAAGCCCCGGCUAACUACGUGCCAGCAGCCGCGGUAAUACGUAGGGGGCAAGCGUUAUCCGGAUUUACUGGGUGUAAAGGUAGCGUAGACGGUGGGGCAAGUCUGGAGUGAAAGGCGGGGGCCCAACCCCGGGACCGCGCUGGAAACUGCCCGGCUGGAGUGCGGGAGAGGUAAGCGGAAUUCCUAGUGUAGCGGUGAAAUGCGUAGAGAUUAGGAGGAACACCAGAGGCGAAGGCGGCUUACUGGACCGUGACUGACGUUGAGGUUCGAAAGCGUGGGGAGCAAACAGGAUUAGAUACCCUGGUAGUC
Molecule: ribosomal RNA, 440 nt
Filed under: uncultured bacterium
Lineage: Bacteria
Description: partial 16S ribosomal RNA
Rfam family: Bacterial small subunit ribosomal RNA
Source: RNAcentral